Molecule: long non-coding RNA, 537 nt
Filed under: Mytilus galloprovincialis (Mediterranean mussel)
Lineage: Eukaryota; Metazoa; Mollusca; Bivalvia; Mytilida; Mytilidae
Source: RNAcentral
AACAAAUACCGUAUUUAUUCUAUUUAAAGCCCCCCUUCUAAUUAACGCCCCUACCGAAAAUCGUGCGUUCAGAACUUUUGACUUCUAAUAAACGCCCCCAUUUUGUAGUUAAAAAAAUAAAAUUGAAACUAACCCAUUACAAUAUUGCAAAGACAUCGACCCGGUCACUCAGAAACAUGAAACGAAAAAUCAAUACUGCCCAUGUUUUAAUCCACUCCGAUAAUCCAACACAGUGUGUACAAGUUCCAAAAAUAGAUCUGUCAGUUAUACAGUACGCUGUUGAAAUUAUGUUCCAUUGAUGUGCACGAUUGUUCAUUCGAAAAUUUUAACAAAUUAUUUGGUGAGGUCACAUUACCGAUAAACGCUAUUUAUAGAUUAUGGAGACAAUAAGAAACACGUGUAUGUUACUAUAGUCUGUUUCAACAAAAUUCAGGUAAAGGUCAAUGAAGUAAGGUACGAAAUUCGUUUCUCUAAUUGACGCCCCCCCUUUCGGAAAUUGUGUUCGCCCCCGGGGCGUUUAUUAGAAUAAAUACGGUA